GACGAACGCUGGCGGCGUGCUUAACACAUGCAAGUCGAACGGAAAGGCCCUGCUUUUGUGGGGUGCUCGAGUGGCGAACGGGUGAGUAACACGUGAGUAACCUGCCCUUGACUUUGGGAUAACUUCAGGAAACUGGGGCUAAUACCGGAUAGGAGCUCCUGCUGCAUGGUGGGGGUUGGAAAGUUUCGGCGGUUGGGGAUGGACUCGCGGCUUAUCAGCUUGUUGGUGGGGUAGUGGCUUACCAAGGCUUUGACGGGUAGCCGGCCUGAGAGGGUGACCGGCCACAUUGGGACUGAGAUACGGCCCCGACUCCUACGGGAGGGAGCAGUGGGGAAUAUUGCACAAUGGGCGGAAGCCUGAUGCAGCAACGCCGCGUGCGGGAUGACGGCCUUCGGGGUGUAAACCGCUUUCGCCUGUGACGAAGCGUGAGUGACGGUAAUGGGUAAAGAAGCACCGGCUAACUACGUG
RNAcentral lists this ribosomal RNA (468 nucleotides) under uncultured bacterium. RNAcentral describes it as "partial 16S ribosomal RNA". It matches the Rfam family "Bacterial small subunit ribosomal RNA", at positions 28 to 507 of the family's 1533-position model. The record is from RNAcentral.